AACGAACGCUGGCGGCAUGCCUAACGCAUGCAAGUCGAACGAGACCUUCGGGUCUAGUGGCGCACGGGUGCGUAACGCGUGGGAACCUGCCCUUAGGUUCGGAAUAACUCCCCGAAAGGGGUGCUAAUACCGGAUAAUGUCUUCGGACCAAAGAUUUAUCGCCUUUGGAUGGGCCCGCGUUGGAUUAGCUAGUUGGUAGGGUAAAAGCCUACCAAGGCGACGAUCCAUAGCUGGUCUGAGAGGAUGAUCAGCCACACUGGGACUGAGACACGGCCCAGACUCCUACGGGAGGCAGCAGUGGGGAAUAUUGGACAAUGGGCGAAAGCCUGAUCCAGCAAUGCCGCGUGAGUGAUGAAGGCCUUAGGGUUGUAAAGCUCUUUUACCCGGGAUGAUAAUGACAGUACCGGGAGAAUAAACUCCGGCUAACUCCGUG
Molecule: ribosomal RNA, 433 nt
Filed under: uncultured bacterium
Lineage: Bacteria
Description: partial 16S ribosomal RNA
Rfam family: Bacterial small subunit ribosomal RNA
Source: RNAcentral